RNAcentral lists this long non-coding RNA (596 nucleotides) under Gossypium barbadense (sea-island cotton). Its description in RNAcentral is "long non-coding RNA (GBAR_LNC021540)". Lineage: Eukaryota; Viridiplantae; Streptophyta; Magnoliopsida; Malvales; Malvaceae. The record is from RNAcentral.
AAUUAUCUCACUUUCUUGGGAGCCAAACACUUCCAUCCAUCACUUGAUUAUUCUUUCAAUGCCUUGUGCCAAGCAAAUAAGGAGGUAAUGGACUGGUGGCAAGGCUCCAUGAAAGCAACUAACCACAAAGGCCCCGCUCGUAAAUCAACUCCGGUAACCAACGAAGAGAAGAAGCCUCCUCGUAUAGCAACAUCGUCGCUGCUCACAGAUCUGGUCUUAUUAGAGUUUCGUGGCUUUUAAAAAGAAUUUUAGAAAUCCAAAAGUUUCUUAAGCAAUGUCGUUAAUGAAGGAAAGAUCUGGUUUAUCUCUCAAAGUUCUCCAUAAAUUUCUUAACAAACCCAUUUUGAGAAACCCAUACUUCAAACAGUUCUGGAAAUUUCAAUACCCAUUAAAAAAGGAAAAGAAGGGAUUUGGAGGGAACCGAGCCUUUAAAGCCACUGCCUACAAGUUAUACUUCACGAUUGUGGUCACUACUCCUGUCUUCUUCUUCAAUUACUUUGUUUGAGUUUCAAGUUCGAAUUAUCGAUAUUGUCAGGGCUUGGUGAAGGGAUGAAAUUUAGUGUGAUGGAGAUGAGCAAGAUGAAUCAUCGAAGUUG